This is a long non-coding RNA of Gallus gallus (chicken), 2713 nucleotides long. RefSeq lists it as uncharacterized. Lineage: Eukaryota; Metazoa; Chordata; Aves; Galliformes; Phasianidae. The transcript is spliced from 3 exons. The record is from RefSeq and is a predicted model, not a curated record.
UGCAUCUUAGAUUGUCCUUAACUUAGCUGGCCCCAAGCAUCUGGCUUGCCUCACCUCACAAGUACUGAGGCGUGGGUGAGCAAUCCCCUGUUCAGAAGUGCCCCAGCAGUGCAUGUGUCCACACAAAGCAUGUGCUUUGCUGGCAUCUCUGUAGAAUGGAAGAGCCAGUCAGUGGGGGCAGGAGGUAGGAUGUGUGUGUGGUGGAAGCAUCAUGGAAGCUCCUGCAGGGCAAGAGGUACUUUGGUUCAUUCCUUUCACUGACAGCUACAAUAUGGGUGGCCUUAUUUUUUUGCUCAUGGCUAUGUCGUCCAGGAUUAUGGUCAGAAAGACAGACUGAAUUACACUCUCCCUCUGCCCCGGAUAAACUACCAUCAUAAUUCCAACACCAGACUAAAGCAUGUCUGGCUCCUUCACUUCUACUCUUGCUUCUUAAUGAGCAGAGAGAGGGGCUCUUUUAGAGUGUUUUUAUGGCACUGAUCACUUACAAGGAAGCACAUUGACAGGGCUAAUGCACCAUGCUUCUGUUCUUGUGCUCUUGCCUGCAUUGCUGUGGUGGUGUCAUUCUCUGCAGUGUUUUUUAGGCUUUGAAUAGGAAUGUGUCAAGGCAGUUAUGUUUGGAUUCUGUCUUGUCUGAGUGUUCAUGCAAAGUCUCACUUAGCUAUGGGAGCUGUAGAUGCUGUUCCCUUCCCACCUCCAUUAUUUAGGGCUUGCUACAGCAGAGCUCUCAAGCCUGUACUUUAUUCUGAGCCUGCAGGAGAUUUCACUGAAAGCAGAGUUUAGGUCUCUUUCACAAUAUUUGCUGUGAUUAUUUGGAUGAUUAUCACAGAGACAAACUAAGACAGGUAGAUAGAUCUAGAACCACAGGCAGGAGCCUAGAUUUAAGUGCUUGCAUCUCAGCAGUGGAGGAGUCAAUGGAAGGAUCCUGUAGUGAUGGAAACACAAAGCAGAUGCUCCAGAUGGACUGGUUCCAGGUGUCUGUGUGAAAUGCAUGCCUUAGAUCUCACUGGCAUCUGGAGAGGGGCUGGUCCCACAGAGGGAAGACUCUGCUAGUGACAGGCUCCCAAAUGGCCCUGCCCAUGAGCAGCUCUUCUGCCUGUCAUCCAGCUCAUUCUCUAAUGCUAAUAAAGACAGUGGCUUUAGCCCAGGCUUGUUGUGAUGACUAAGCUAUUAGCAAAUAUGAGGCAGAGAAACACUGAGGCGUUUUCUGCUUUGGGAGGAAAUACUGUUGCACAGUUGAUUUGAGAGCCAAUUUCUGGCACCAGGUCAAAGGCAGUUGCUUUCCCUACUUCCCAGUUAAAGGACUUAUUUAUGGAUGGAUGAGGUGAAGAAGUAAAGAAUCUUGACUUGCUUUUCCUCCUGGAAGGGCUGUCUUGUUGUCCAAGCAAUCGUAUCUCUUCGUUCUGAUUAGGUCUUCCUUUAUUGUAGGAGUGUGCUCAUACCAGCAAUCGUUGUGGCUGUUUUGAUGCUGCAGAGAUGCCAUCUAUCAAAACUGUGACUUUGGUGACUCAUUGUCCUUCUGGGCUGUUCCGGGAUAUGCUAUGGAGCAACCUCUGAUGUUCUGACCUUACAGAUGAGGAAUUGCACCCCGGAUAGAUGAAGUAAUUUGUCUAAGGUUACCCAGGCAAUCUGUGUCAGGGCAAGGAUUCAAGCUUGUCUACAAGUGCCUGCCUUUUGGAACGUUCUUCCUCCCACUGGCAGCACCUCCUAUGGCUGAAAUGCAACAGUUCAUGCAGGAGAAAUGUCUCUUGUACUUUCCAUCUGUCUUUGGGGCGGUGCUAUCACGUACUGCGUGUUUUGUAUACUUGAUGGAGUUUCAACAGAGCUGAAGGUCAUCACUUUCUGCUUUCUCCUUUUGGGUUUCAUUCUGUUACUGUUCUCUUUUUUAUGUCCAGCAAAUACAGACAAACAGGUGUGUUAAUGAUGCAGGGCCAGCCACAUACUUAUCCUGAUCUUUAUCUCUGUGUGCCAACACUCAGGAUCAGGCUCUGUCUUCAGUCCCCUUGCCAUAGUCUUAUCCUGGUGACCACAGGACUUUUCAGUAUCCUUGCCCCAGCAGGUCACAUUCCUGCAGGUCCUCCUUAGAGACUGGUGAUGUCACAGUGACCAUACAUCCAUGUCGUGGGGCUCAAGGGAAGAGAACUCACUUUCAAACCAGCAGUCAGUAUGGCUAUCUGUUCUAUGGAUGUUGUGGCCCUACUUUGUCCAAUGCAUUCCCAAGUCCAAUGUUAAGUGCUUCCUGCCUCUUCUGCAGGACUUUAAAAUAUCCAUUCCCCAUCCAAGACAAGAUUGCUAUGGAAGAACCAGCAGGAACAGGUGGAGAGGCCCUGUUCCACGUGAGAUGUCAGAGAUCAGAUGCAAGAGGCCAGCAUGGAGUGGGAACUUCACGUGAGACUUCUGAUCAGUCACAGGUGGGAAGCUUCAGUUGUAGCUGUGUAUGACCACUUGAGCUCCUUCAACUCGAAAAGGAUGGAAAUGAGUUUUAUAAGGUGAUUCGUGGAAGAUAGUUUUUCCAAAAUUUCAUGGGGAUGGAACCAUGGCACGAGGAAAAGCAAGUUCUCUGCACCAGUGUAGAAGAGGGAUAAAUCUGUAGGAGAAUAAAGCAUCGUGUGUUCUGUUCCUCUGAGAACAGCUUGUUUUCUCAGAGCUCUGUUCCUUCGUAUGGGAGAGCUUUAUCAACACAAAGAAAGGAGGAAUAAAAUAAUUUUCUCCCUAA